Molecule: long non-coding RNA, 1780 nt
Organism: Bos indicus x Bos taurus (hybrid cattle)
Lineage: Eukaryota; Metazoa; Chordata; Mammalia; Artiodactyla; Bovidae
Source: Ensembl
UCAUCCAUAAAACCCGAGACUGCGAGCCACGCAGCAGAGCAGUUCUCCUGGCUUCCCUUACCCUACUGCUCUCCACCCGGGUGCCUUUUCCCAAUAAAAUCUCUUGCUUUGUCAGCACAUGUGUCUCCUCGGACAAUCCAUUUCCGAGUGUUAAACCCCAGUUUUGGGUCCUGGAAGGGGUCCGCCUUCCUGCAACAAAUGGUGACUCUGGUGGAAUUCUUCUUCGCUGUGACUGACAUCCUGACCACUCGGGGUACUCAGGGGCCAGCUUGCCUGCCAAUGGACCAGACCCAGUGGCCGCAUCUGGGAUCCUUUUUCCCUGGUCUCCUCCUGACACGGACAACUGGCCAGAGUGCCCCAACCGUCCCCUGGUCCUGGACACAGGAAUCUGGUCAAAGGGCCCUCAGCCUGAGCUGAGGAUUGGAGACUGAUCACUUCCUCUUGGCAGAGAACUCGAAUUCUGGUUCUGAUCUGGUCUGAUUUCUGGUAAGGCUGAGUUCCAGUCCUCCAUUCUCUGGAGGCCCAGGGAAAAGUCCCAUAACGCCUGGGUAUCUGUAGGUGGCAGGAGACAUCUGUAAGGCCACCCCUUUCGCCCCCUUCUCCUGCCUCCUCCCCCCUUCUUUCAACCUGGCUUCCUUUCCUCCCUUUGAAAUCUUUGAUGUUAGUACUUGGAUCUGAAGUUCUGUGUCUCUAUAAGAGGUUUUCUGAGAGACCGUAUUCUUGUAUUUAAGGGCUUCCCUGGUGGCGCAGAGGUGAAAGCAUCUGCCUGCAAUGUGAGAGACCUGGGCUCGAUCCCUGGGUCGGGAAGAUCCCCCUGGAGAAGCAAAUGGCAACCCACUCUGGUAUUCUUGCCUGGAGAAUCCCAUGGACGAAGGAGCUUUGUGGGCUACAGUCCACGGGUCACAAAGAGUCGGACAUGACUGAGUGACUUCAUUUUCACUUUCACUUUAUGGCUUCAUCACAUCUGUAUACAUUAUUUUUCUAGUUUGGAGGCUUUAUAAACAUUGGAUUGCAUGUAGUCUCUUGAGACUAUUUUUCAUUUACCAUUUUGUCUCUCAAAAUAUUUCUCUGUUGAUAUGAGUACUUGUAUUAUUCUAUUUUCACUGUCUUGUGGUGUGAAUAUGCCGCCACUUAUUUAUUCAUUUCCCUGAUAGUGGAUCAGUCCAACUGUUUCUUUUUUGUCUUUUUUUGCUUGUCCUUGUGUUUUUAUUCAUGAACAAUGUUUCUAUGUUUAUUUUUUUACAUGCUUUCUGAUACAGAUAAGCAAGAAUUCCUGUGGCUUAGAUAUGAAAUUACUGAGUUAUAGGAUAUGCACAUUUACAGCCUUACAGGAUAAUGCUAAAUUGCUUUCCAAAGAUCUUUCGCCAGUUGACACUUCUAAAAACAAAGAGUUCUCAUGUUUGCAUAUUCUUGAUAAAAGAUUGUAUUGUUAGACUUGAAAACUUUUUCCUCUUCUCCUGGGUAUAAAAUGAUCUCCCUGGUGGUCCAGUGAGAUCUGGACCUUUGCAAUGCAAAGAAUCUGCCUUGCAAUGCAGGGGACACUUGUUCAAUCCCUGGUCCAGAAAGAUCCCACCUUCCAUGGGGCAACUAAGCUCAGGAGCUGCAACUACUCUGCCUAGAGCCUGUGCUCUGCAACAAGAGAAGCCACCACAAUAAGAAGCCCAAGCACCUCAAUUAGAGAGUAGCCCCUGCUCACCGCAAGCAGAGAAAGCCCACGCACAGCAAUCAAGAUCCAGUGGCCAAAAGUAAAUAAAUAAAUUAAUUAAAAAAUGAUUUCCCA